RNAcentral lists this small nuclear RNA (83 nucleotides) under Heterocephalus glaber (naked mole-rat). RNAcentral's name for it is "U4 spliceosomal RNA". It matches the Rfam family "U4 spliceosomal RNA", at positions 1 to 82 of the family's 138-position model. Rfam says of the family: U4 small nuclear RNA (U4 snRNA) is a component of the major U2-dependent spliceosome. The structure of U4 snRNA from yeast and human has been reported. Lineage: Eukaryota; Metazoa; Chordata; Mammalia; Rodentia; Bathyergidae. The record is from Rfam by way of RNAcentral.
AGUUUUGCACAGUGGCAGUAUGAUAGCCGAUGAAGUUUAUCUGAGGCAUGAUUACUGCUAAUUGAGAAACAUUAAUUCAACCA